This 121-nucleotide transfer RNA is filed under the name Bacteroidales bacterium. Its description in RNAcentral is "tRNA-Cys". RNAcentral also lists the same sequence under 1 other name. Lineage: Bacteria; Pseudomonadati; Bacteroidota; Bacteroidia; Bacteroidales. The record is from RNAcentral.
GGGGGCAUAGCCCGGUAAAUGGUAUCCGGAAGGGUCAAAUACGGGAAAGUGAAGAAAUCAUAAUCUGGACUGCAACUCGCCUUCGGCAACAGAGCAGGUUCGAUUCCUGCUGCCCCCACCA